Molecule: ribosomal RNA, 2903 nt
Filed under: Escherichia coli
Lineage: Bacteria; Pseudomonadati; Pseudomonadota; Gammaproteobacteria; Enterobacterales; Enterobacteriaceae
Description: bacterial LSU rRNA
Rfam family: Bacterial large subunit ribosomal RNA
Source: RNAcentral
UUAAGCGACUAAGCGUACACGGUGGAUGCCCUGGCAGUCAGAGGCGAUGAAGGACGUGCUAAUCUGCGAUAAGCGUCGGUGAGGUGAUAUGAACCGUUAUAACCGGCGAUUUCCGAAUGGGGAAACCCAGUGUGUUUCGACACACUAUCAUUAACUGAAUCCAUAGGUUAAUGAGGCGAACCGGGGGAACUGAAACAUCUAAGUACCCCGAGGAAAAGAAAUCAACCGAGAUUCCCCCAGUAGCGGCGAGCGAACGGGGAGGAGCCCAGAGCCUGAAUCAGUGUGUGUGUUAGUGGAAGCGUCUGGAAAGGCGCGCGAUACAGGGUGACAGCCCCGUACACAAAAAUGCACAUGCUGUGAGCUCGAUGAGUAGGGCGGGACACGUGGUAUCCUGUCUGAAUAUGGGGGGACCAUCCUCCAAGGCUAAAUACUCCUGACUGACCGAUAGUGAACCAGUACCGUGAGGGAAAGGCGAAAAGAACCCCGGCGAGGGGAGUGAAAAAGAACCUGAAACCGUGUACGUACAAGCAGUGGGAGCCUCUUAAUGGGGUGACUGCGUACCUUUUGUAUAAUGGGUCAGCGACUUAUAUUCUGUAGCAAGGUUAACCGAAUAGGGGAGCCGAAGGGAAACCGAGUCUUAACUGGGCGUUAAGUUGCAGGGUAUAGACCCGAAACCCGGUGAUCUAGCCAUGGGCAGGUUGAAGGUUGGGUAACACUAACUGGAGGACCGAACCGACUAAUGUUGAAAAAUUAGCGGAUGACUUGUGGCUGGGGGUGAAAGGCCAAUCAAACCGGGAGAUAGCUGGUUCUCCCCGAAAGCUAUUUAGGUAGCGCCUCGUGAAUUCAUCUCCGGGGGUAGAGCACUGUUUCGGCAAGGGGGUCAUCCCGACUUACCAACCCGAUGCAAACUGCGAAUACCGGAGAAUGUUAUCACGGGAGACACACGGCGGGUGCUAACGUCCGUCGUGAAGAGGGAAACAACCCAGACCGCCAGCUAAGGUCCCAAAGUCAUGGUUAAGUGGGAAACGAUGUGGGAAGGCCCAGACAGCCAGGAUGUUGGCUUAGAAGCAGCCAUCAUUUAAAGAAAGCGUAAUAGCUCACUGGUCGAGUCGGCCUGCGCGGAAGAUGUAACGGGGCUAAACCAUGCACCGAAGCUGCGGCAGCGACGCUUAUGCGUUGUUGGGUAGGGGAGCGUUCUGUAAGCCUGUGAAGGUGUGCUGUGAGGCAUGCUGGAGGUAUCAGAAGUGCGAAUGCUGACAUAAGUAACGAUAAAGCGGGUGAAAAGCCCGCUCGCCGGAAGACCAAGGGUUCCUGUCCAACGUUAAUCGGGGCAGGGUGAGUCGACCCCUAAGGCGAGGCCGAAAGGCGUAGUCGAUGGGAAACAGGUUAAUAUUCCUGUACUUGGUGUUACUGCGAAGGGGGGACGGAGAAGGCUAUGUUGGCCGGGCGACGGUUGUCCCGGUUUAAGCGUGUAGGCUGAUUUUCCAGGCAAAUCCGGAAAAUCAAGGCUGAGGCGUGAUGACGAGGCACUACGGUGCUGAAGCAACAAAUGCCCUGCUUCCAGGAAAAGCCUCUAAGCAUCAGGUAACAUCAAAUCGUACCCCAAACCGACACAGGUGGUCAGGUAGAGAAUACCAAGGCGCUUGAGAGAACUCGGGUGAAGGAACUAGGCAAAAUGGUGCCGUAACUUCGGGAGAAGGCACGCUGAUAUGUAGGUGAAGCGACUUGCUCGUGGAGCUGAAAUCAGUCGAAGAUACCAGCUGGCUGCAACUGUUUAUUAAAAACACAGCACUGUGCAAACACGAAAGUGGACGUAUACGGUGUGACGCCUGCCCGGUGCCGGAAGGUUAAUUGAUGGGGUUAGCGGCAACGCGAAGCUCUUGAUCGAAGCCCCGGUAAACGGCGGCCGUAACUAUAACGGUCCUAAGGUAGCGAAAUUCCUUGUCGGGUAAGUUCCGACCUGCACGAAUGGCGUAAUGAUGGCCAGGCUGUCUCCACCCGAGACUCAGUGAAAUUGAACUCGCUGUGAAGAUGCAGUGUACCCGCGGCAAGACGGAAAGACCCCGUGAACCUUUACUAUAGCUUGACACUGAACAUUGAGCCUUGAUGUGUAGGAUAGGUGGGAGGCUUUGAAGUGUGGACGCCAGUCUGCAUGGAGCCGACCUUGAAAUACCACCCUUUAAUGUUUGAUGUUCUAACGUGGGCCCGUAAUCCGGGUUGCGGACAGUGUCUGGUGGGUAGUUUGACUGGGGCGGUCUCCUCCUAAAGAGUAACGGAGGAGCACGAAGGUUGGCUAAUCCUGGUCGGACAUCAGGAGGUUAGUGCAAUGGCAUAAGCCAGCUUGACUGCGAGCGUGACGGCGCGAGCAGGUGCGAAAGCAGGUCAUAGUGAUCCGGUGGUUCUGAAUGGAAGGGCCAUCGCUCAACGGAUAAAAGGUACUCCGGGGAUAACAGGCUGAUACCGCCCAAGAGUUCAUAUCGACGGCGGUGUUUGGCACCUCGAUGUCGGCUCAUCACAUCCUGGGGCUGAAGUAGGUCCCAAGGGUAUGGCUGUUCGCCAUUUAAAGUGGUACGCGAGCUGGGUUUAGAACGUCGUGAGACAGUUCGGUCCCUAUCUGCCGUGGGCGCUGGAGAACUGAGGGGGGCUGCUCCUAGUACGAGAGGACCGGAGUGGACGCAUCACUGGUGUUCGGGUUGUCAUGCCAAUGGCACUGCCCGGUAGCUAAAUGCGGAAGAGAUAAGUGCUGAAAGCAUCUAAGCACGAAACUUGCCCCGAGAUGAGUUCUCCCUGACUCCUUGAGAGUCCUGAAGGAACGUUGAAGACGACGACGUUGAUAGGCCGGGUGUGUAAGCGCAGCGAUGCGUUGAGCUAACCGGUACUAAUGAACCGUGAGGCUUAACCUU